This is a non-coding RNA of Acanthosepion pharaonis, 112 nucleotides long. Lineage: Eukaryota; Metazoa; Mollusca; Cephalopoda; Sepiida; Sepiidae. The record is from the annotation of a GenBank genome assembly.
UUACGGACAUAUCACGUUGAAACACCGCUUCUCGUCCGAUCACUGAAUUUAAGCAACGUCGAAUUUGGUCAGUAUCUAGAUGGGUGACCACUUUGGAAUGACAUGUGCUAUA